GAUGAACGCUGGCGGCGUGCUUAACACAUGCAAGUCGAACGGAAAGGCCGAAGCUUGCUUCGGUACUCGAUUGGCGAACGGGUGAGUAACACGUGUGUGAUCUGCCCUGUACUUCGGGAUAUGCUUGGGAAACUGGGUCUAAUACCGCGUAUGACGUACUCUUGGAUGGGGUUGUGGAGUGCUUUUGCGGUAUGGGAUGAGCUCGCGGCCUAUCAGCUUGUUGGUGGGGUAUUGGCCUACCAAGGCGUCGACGGGUAGCCGGCCUGAGAGAGUGUACGGCCGCAUUGGGCCUGAGAUACAGCCCACACUAGGACGGGAGGCAGCAGUGGGGAAUAUUUCACGAUGGGCGGAAGCCUGAUGCAGCGAGGUCUCGUGGGGGAUGACGUCCUUCGGGUUGUAAACUCAAUUCGCUAUCGACGAAGCCUUUUGGUGACGGUAGGUUGAGAAGAAGCACCGGCUAACUACGUG
Molecule: ribosomal RNA, 468 nt
Filed under: uncultured bacterium
Lineage: Bacteria
Description: partial 16S ribosomal RNA
Rfam family: Bacterial small subunit ribosomal RNA
Source: RNAcentral